Molecule: non-coding RNA, 1496 nt
Organism: Herpailurus yagouaroundi (jaguarundi)
Lineage: Eukaryota; Metazoa; Chordata; Mammalia; Carnivora; Felidae
Source: the annotation of a RefSeq genome assembly
UGGGGCUCCAUCCUUGGGUCAUUUGGGAGCAUCAGUUGAAGGUUCCUCAAAGAUACUAAACUAAAAUCAUUUUCAAAUUGAUUUCCCUUCGUCCUGCACAGGAUGCCUUCUGUUGUUCUUGUUGAGCAUCCUGUUUACUCUCAGCCCAGCCAAGCUUUGUACCCUCAGUGCUGGGACAGAGGAUGGCUGCUCCCUCGUCCUCCCCCCCCCAGCCAGUGUCUGGCUCCUGGCUGGCAUCCAGUCCUGCCUUUUUAGUGGUGGGCACCGGGCCCAAACGGAACCACAGCCCUCCUAUUUCCCUCCUCCAUGAGGUGGGGCGAAAGGGCUCCAUGGGGCUCAGACACUGAAGGAAGCAUCUGCAUGACUGAGCGGAGAAGGAAGGAGAUCUCCUGAAGCGGAAACGGUCUGUUGCCGAGCGGGGUCUUGGAAGGAAGCUGGAUAGAGAGAGAGCCUAAGAACGAGGAUGGAAGCUAAGAGCAGGGGAGCAUCUGUCAGAGGAAUAGCUCAUCCCAGUCCAUUCCAAUCCACCUUCUGCCAGAAUCUGUACAAGGACAAGGUGUGAAGCCGGAGGAAGAAACACGCCCCUGGGUCUGGGACAGUGACAUCACAGGCCAACCACCAACCAAGGCCAAGGAGACCAGAGCCUGGCUCCCUGCCCAGGACACCUAGUUACAUGGUGCUCACCUUGGCCCUGACUCCACCAUGGGCUGCAGGCUGCUCUGCUGUGUGGCUCUCUGUCUCCUGGAAGCAGUCCCCGUGGACGCUGCAGUUACCCAGACACCAAAACACCUGGUCGCAGCGACAGGGAGUAAGGGGACCCUGAAGUGCGAACAACAUCUGGGACAUAACGCUAUGUACCGGUACAAACAGAGUGCUCAGAGGCCACCGAAGCUCAUGUUUGCCUACAGCUAUAAGGAACUCCCCGAAAAUGACAGUGUCCCCAGUCGCUUCACACCCAAGCGCUCAGACAGCUCCCACCUGCACCUUCACGUGGCCGCCCUACAGCCAGAGGACUCCGCCCUGUAUCUCUGUGCGAGCAGCGAGGACACAGCCCCGCACAGCCAACUGCUCCCCGUGCACAAACCUCCUGGGUGCAGCGGGGGAGCCGUGGGGGCAACCAGGGCUCAGCUCGACAUCUCCGGUGGGACCCCAGACAGACAGAAACCCCAGGCCACGACGUGCCGGUCGGUUCGCUGGAUGCAGCAAGGCCCAGUUCCCUGCACAGACGCCCACAGCCUGUGGCCUGGCUCUGCCCGGGGCCAGACUGUGCCCGCGGCUGAGUGCGGGACGGAAAGGGUCCACCUCAAGUUCCUCCGGUAGCAUCCCAUCGGCACGUGGCCCCGGGGACUCUUUCAGGAGACGCGCUGCACUCUGGUCGCGGCGGCCCUGCCAAGCCUCCCGCCAACGCGUACCUUUCUCUGCCUGUUCCUUCCACCCAGGUGAGACCCUGGAUCUCAGCCCUGCUCCCAGCUCCAGAUGCGCUCCGAGCCCCUUUG